CUCUGAGGGCUCCUUUGGCAGCCCGGGAUACCACCGGGAUCCCGGCCCAUUCCCUGGGAGAAAGGCCCGCGGGGGAAAUUGCCACGGGUAUUAUUUCUGGUCCAUUUGGAAGCCCACGAGGCAGGGAUUUCCCGGCCCAAUCCGCGGGGAAACCCCAGGGAAAGGAACCCGACCUCUCGAGGUCAGGAAAUUUUCCUCUCCCGAUCCGCCGCUCUCUCUCUCGCGCAAAAGCGGCGACCAAGAGCGGGCGCCGCCGUGCCUCCUCCUCCGGCGAGACGCGCCACCACCGGACUCUUCCUCCGGCGAGAAGGGCACAGAAGCGCGGCGGUGACGCGGCGGCGCGCCGGUAGCACGGGCUCACAGCACCGGCGGAGGACAGGGGGGAGAUCCAAGGCGACGCCACGCACCGGCGGAGGAGGCAUUGAGGCGCAGAUCCAAGGCAGCAAAGAAUUUGUUUUGGGGAUUUACAAGUGACAAGAGUAAAGAUUAAGACCAGUUGCACCGAGAUGAUUAUUUGAAAAUUCCAAGGAUUAUAUAUUUUCCACUUAACCUUUGUUUACAUGUAUGUCUAUUUGUGUGCCAACUGUUAAUGAUUGCACAUUAGUUGUUGAAAAGGCAUCACACUAAUGUUUUAGCUUGCUUUAUCUGUCAUUUCAAUGUAUGCCUAUGUAAAAUAUUCCAAUCAUCCAAGGUUCAGUUUUUUUAAUUUGUCAUAUUUUGUAUUAGCUGAAUGUUGAAAUUUUCAAAUUAUUUGUGAAUUUUCUGAAUUUUUA
This 773-nucleotide long non-coding RNA is filed under the name Oryza sativa aromatic subgroup. RNAcentral describes it as "lncRNA OsARC_08g0006410". The record is from RNAcentral. Lineage: Eukaryota; Viridiplantae; Streptophyta; Magnoliopsida; Poales; Poaceae.